CGUCCUAUUAGCUAGUUGGUGAGGUAAUGGCUCACCAAGGCUACGAUGGGUAGGGGUUCUUAGUGGAAGGUCCCCCACACUGGCACUGAGAUACGGGCCAGACUCCUACGGGAGGCAGCAGUAAGGAAUAUUGGUCAAUGGGCGCAAGCCUGAACCAGCCAUGCCGCGUGCAGGGUGAAGGCUCUCUGAGUUGUAAACUGCUUUUGUACAGGAGCAAAAAAAUCCCUGCGGGGGUUCUUGAGAGUACUGUAAGAAUAAGCACCGGCUAAUUCCGUGCCAGCAGCCGCGGUAAUACGGGAGGUGCAAGCGUUAUCCGGUUUUAUUGGGUUUAAAGGGUGCGUAGGCGGCUUAUUAAGUCAGUUGUGAAAUCCUAGUGCUUAACGCUAGAACUGCGAUUGAUACUAUU
Molecule: ribosomal RNA, 406 nt
Filed under: Cardinium endosymbiont of Bemisia tabaci
Lineage: Bacteria; Pseudomonadati; Bacteroidota; Cytophagia; Cytophagales; Amoebophilaceae
Description: bacterial SSU rRNA
Rfam family: Bacterial small subunit ribosomal RNA
Source: RNAcentral